This 21-nucleotide non-coding RNA is filed under the name Caenorhabditis elegans. The record is from RNAcentral. Lineage: Eukaryota; Metazoa; Nematoda; Chromadorea; Rhabditida; Rhabditidae.
UCUAUUCCUGACCGGCAUUCU